RNAcentral lists this microRNA precursor (83 nucleotides) under Otolemur garnettii (small-eared galago). Its description in RNAcentral is "miRNA (ENSOGAG00000017421.1)". The record is from RNAcentral. Lineage: Eukaryota; Metazoa; Chordata; Mammalia; Primates; Galagidae.
UAGAGUGGCCAGCCAUCCUGGUUUGCCUGGGACUGAGGGAAAUUCAAGCAAACGAGAUUUUCAGUGCUAAAACCAGGACAGUC